CCUACGGGAGGCAGCAGUGAGGAAUAUUGGUCAAUGGCCGGAAGGCUGAACCAGCCAAGCCGCGUGAAGGACGAAGGUGCCAAGCAUUGUAAACUUCUUUUGUCAAGGGACAAAAUCAGGUUCGAGAGCCUGUCCGAGGGUACUUGAAGAAAAAGCAUCGGCUAACUCCGUGCCAGCAGCCGCGGUAAUACGGAGGAUGCGAGCGUUAUCCGGAUUUAUUGGGUUUAAAGGGUGCGUAGGCGGACUGUUAAGUCAGCGGUAAAAGCCCGGGGCUCAACCCCGGCGUGCCGGUGAAACUGGCUGUCUUGAGAUGUCGGGAGGUAGGCGGAAGGCGCAGUGUAGCGGUGAAAUGCUUAGAUAUUGCGCAGAACGCCGAUUGCGAAGGCAGCAUACCGGCGGCGAUCUGACGCUGAGGCACGAAAGCGUGGGUAUCGAACAGGAUUAGAUACCCGUGUAGUC
Molecule: ribosomal RNA, 459 nt
Filed under: uncultured bacterium
Lineage: Bacteria
Description: partial 16S ribosomal RNA
Rfam family: Bacterial small subunit ribosomal RNA
Source: RNAcentral